This 231-nucleotide unclassified non-coding RNA is filed under the name uncultured Alphamycetaceae. RNAcentral describes it as "sequence contains ITS2". Lineage: Eukaryota; Fungi; Chytridiomycota; Chytridiomycetes; Rhizophydiales; Alphamycetaceae. The record is from RNAcentral.
GUAUUCUUUUUUGCUUUGUUUCUUAGGGAGCAGAGUGAGAGAUAUGAGGUAUCCCUGUAAUAGGGUGCUUUGAAUUAGAUUGUCACUGUCUUGUAGAAAACGACGACGUUUUUCAUAACCUGCAGAAAAGUAUUUGAAUGGAACCUUGGUUUCUUAUGAUGCUGAAUAAGUAGGCGAAAGAUUGAGUUUUCGUAGGACUGGGGUCCAUAACCUAAAGCUUUCGAGCUUGAA